UCCACCCAGACAAAUGGUGAACCGAUGGCAGCUUGGUAUAACAUAGGCACUAAGUCUGUAGAUAUGAACACUACAAGUCCACUACAAUAUGUGUGAGGUAUCGUUUUAUACCUUUAAAUUCGUCAUCCCCUACAUACCAUUUGCUUCUUUUAUUUUCGUACAAUAUUCAUUCUAUGCUUUGCUAUCUUAUUGCAAAGAAUAAACUUUUUCUUCUUUUUAAGGUCAAACAUACUUCGAAAACUUUGAAAAAAUUUAUAAAGACAUAUCGUCAAUUUUGGUAACAAACUCUGCGUUCAUACAAUGCUCUGAUAUUCCAUUAUAGACCCAUGACGCCUUUGUUUGUUAAAUUCCGAUAUGUAUCUAGAAAUAGCCUUGCACUAUAUCACCGUACGUUUCACUUUCAUCUUCAAUUCUUUUUUGUAUAAUUUCACUUUUUACCAAUCCUAAGAGAAAUACGACGGAAUACUUUCUGGACUGUAAAUAUGAUUGCAUUGAGCAUUUUACUCCUUAGAAACGAUUUCUUCUUGUAAAAUGUUUUGG
Molecule: long non-coding RNA, 540 nt
Filed under: Mytilus galloprovincialis (Mediterranean mussel)
Lineage: Eukaryota; Metazoa; Mollusca; Bivalvia; Mytilida; Mytilidae
Source: RNAcentral